GACGAACGCUGGCGGCGUGCCUAAUACAUGCAAGUAGGACGCACAGCCUAUACCGUAGCUUGCUACACCAUAGGCUGUGAGUUGCGAACGGGUGAGUAACGCGUAGGUAACCUGCCUAUUAGAGGGGGAUAACUAUUGGAAACGAUAGCUAAUACCGCAUAACAGUAUGUAACACAUGUUAGAUGCUUGAAAGAUGCAAUUGCAUCGCUAGUAGAUGGACCUGCGUUGUAUUAGCUAGUAGGUAGGGUAAAGGCCUACCUAGGCAACGAUACAUAGCCGACCUGAGAGGGUGAUCGGCCACACUGGGACUGAGACACGGCCCAGACUCCUACGGGAGGCAGCAGUAGGGAAUCUUCGGCAAUGGGGGGAACCCUGACCGAGCAACGCCGCGUGAGUGAAGAAGGUUUUCGGAUCGUAAAGCUCUGUUGUUAAGGAAGAACGAGUGUGAGAAUGGAAAGUUCAUACUGUGACG
RNAcentral lists this ribosomal RNA (472 nucleotides) under Streptococcus anginosus. RNAcentral describes it as "bacterial SSU rRNA". It matches the Rfam family "Bacterial small subunit ribosomal RNA", at positions 28 to 474 of the family's 1533-position model. The record is from RNAcentral. Lineage: Bacteria; Bacillati; Bacillota; Bacilli; Lactobacillales; Streptococcaceae.